GCUUGUCUCAAAGAUUAAGCCAUGCAUGUCUAAGUAUAAACAAAUCUAUACGUGAAACUGCGAAUGGCUCAUUAUAUCAGUUAUAGUUUAUUUGAUGGUUCAUACUACUUGGAUAACCGUAGUAAUUCUAGAGCUAAUACAUGCGUCAAAACCCGACUCCUGGGAGGGUUGUAUUUAUUAGAUGGAAACCAAUGCGGGGCAACCCGGUAUAUGGUGAUUCAUAAUAACUUUCGGAUCGAUCUUCGGAUCGAUGCAUCAUUCAAGUUUCUGCCCUAUCAGCUUUGGAUGGUAGGGUAUUGGCUUACCAUGGUUACAACGGGUAACGGGGAAUUAGGGUUCGAUUCCGGAGAGGGGGCCUGAGAAAUGGCCACCACUUCCAAGGAAGGCAGCAGG
Molecule: ribosomal RNA, 393 nt
Filed under: Uroglenopsis americana
Lineage: Eukaryota; Chrysophyceae; Chromulinales; Chromulinaceae
Description: partial small subunit ribosomal RNA
Rfam family: Eukaryotic small subunit ribosomal RNA
Source: RNAcentral